AACUGAAAUUCAAACCCGGAAUGUAAUUGUACAGUACCAUAUAUUUCGUUGCCAGACAAUACGAAGAUAAGUCCGACGCAAAGUAAUUGGACGCUAGCCAGGAAAUGACCAUCUUAAAUCACUCCUUGUCAAUCUGAUACGGUUAAUUACGUUCCAAAUUAAAUUUCCACCUUCCAAGAUUAUGUUACGGGUGAACUCUGGCGAUGAGGUAUAUCAAGAUGCCAGAGUGUGGUCAUCAUUUAAGACUUUACACACAACCCUACAGUUUUGGGUGCCGAUUUCGUUCUUAUAAGCCAAUGGAAACAUACUACGUAAGCGAUCAUUUACAAUGCUUGUUUUAAACUAUAAAGCGUACGAAACAAUAAGGCUGUGCAGUUAACAUCCGUCAUCUAAUUCAUCAAAUCCUACAUGUUAUGACUCACUGGGGAUAUAGCUGCGAUUUCUGUCUGGCUGUCAUUUGUUACACAUCGACGUUUAGCUGGAACUCCAAACUACGUUCCUAGACA
This is a non-coding RNA of Ciona intestinalis (vase tunicate), 506 nucleotides long. NCBI's taxonomy places the organism in Eukaryota, Metazoa, Chordata, Ascidiacea, Phlebobranchia, Cionidae. The record is from RefSeq and is a predicted model, not a curated record.